GACAGAGGGUGCAAACGUUGCUCGGAAUUACUGGGCGUAAAGCGCAUGUAGGCGGCUCCGUAAGUCGGAUGUGAAAGCCCUCGGCUUAACCGAGGAAGUGCAUUCGAUACUGCAGAGCUAGAGUACCGGAGAGGGUCGUGGAAUUCCUGGUGUAGAGGUGAAAUUCGUAGAUAUUAGGAAGAACACCAGUGGCGAAGGCGGCUCACUGGCUCGGUACUGACGCUGAGGCGCGAAAGCGUGGGGAGCAAACAGG
Molecule: ribosomal RNA, 253 nt
Filed under: uncultured bacterium
Lineage: Bacteria
Description: partial 16S ribosomal RNA
Rfam family: Bacterial small subunit ribosomal RNA
Source: RNAcentral